UUAAGUGUGACGACACACGUAUCCGAAGCGAAAGCGAGUCUGAAUAGGGCGUAUAGUCGGCAGUGGCAGACGCGAAACCAAGUGAUCUACCCUUGGCCAGGUUGAAGGCUGGGUAACACCAGCUGGAGGACCGCACCAAUAAGCGUUGAAAAGCUUCUGGAUGAGCUGAGGGUAGGGGUGAAAGGCUAAUCAAACUUGGAGAUAGCUCGUACUCCCCGAAAUGCAUUUAGGUGCAGCCUUGCGGGUUACUGAUGUGAGGUAGAGCGACUGAUAAGAUGCGAGGGCUUCACCGCCUAUCAAGUCUUGACAAACUCCGAAUGCGCAUCAGUUCUACCGCAGGAGUGAGGGCAUGGGUGCUAAGGUCCGUGCCCGAGAGGAGAAGAAUCCGGACCACCUGCUAAGGUCCCGAAAUGACAGCUAAGUUAAACUAACGAAGUCUGACUGCUAAGACAGCUAGGAUGUUGGCUUGGAAGCAGCCAUUCAUUUAAAGAGUGCGUAACAGCUCACUAGUCGAGGAGUCGGGCGUGGAUAAUAAUCGGGUAUCAAGUUGUCUACCGAAGCAGUGGGAUCAUUAAUAUGAUCGGUAGGGGAGCAUUCCAGUCAGCGUCGAAGGCGUACCGUGAGGUAUUCUGGAGCGUCUGGAAAAGCAAAUGUAGGUAUAAGUAACGAUAAAGGGGGCGGGAAACCCCCUCGCCGAAAGACUAAGGUUUCCUGAUCAACGCUAAUCGGAUCAGGGUCAGUCGGGUCCUAAGGCUCAGCCGAACGGCGAUGCCGAUGGCAGAAACGGUUAAUAUUCCGUUACUACCUUCAGGAGUGACGUGGAGACGCAGUAGUGACAGUGCCGCCAUCUGACGGAAUAGAUGGUUGAAGGGUGUAGGAGUCGAUCAUGGCAGGCAAAUCCACCAUGAGAAUCGAACCUGAUAGUAUGCCGCGUCCCUCGGGACAAGGCAAUAGUGCAUGUAAUCAUGCUGCCAAGAAAAUCCGCUAAACUAAAUCCUGUAGGUACCC
RNAcentral lists this ribosomal RNA (1008 nucleotides) under Staphylococcus hominis. RNAcentral's name for it is "partial 23S ribosomal RNA". It matches the Rfam family "Bacterial large subunit ribosomal RNA", at positions 646 to 1643 of the family's 2925-position model. The record is from RNAcentral. Lineage: Bacteria; Bacillati; Bacillota; Bacilli; Caryophanales; Staphylococcaceae.